CUUCCUACGGGGGGCAGCAGUGGGGAAUAUUGGACAAUGGGGGGAACCCUGAUCCAGCGACGCCGCGUGAGUGAAGAAGUAUUUCGGUAUGUAAAGCUCUAUCAGCAGGGAAGAAAGAAAUGACGGUACCUGACUAAGAAGCCCCGGCUAACUACGUGCCAGCAGCCGCGGUAAUACGUAGGGGGCAAGCGUUAUCCGGAUUUACUGGGUGUAAAGGGAGCGUAGGCGGCUGUGUAAGCCAGAAGUGAAAGCCCGGGGCUCAACUCCGGGACUGCUUUUGGAACUACAUGGCUUGAUUGCAGGAG
RNAcentral lists this ribosomal RNA (305 nucleotides) under uncultured bacterium. RNAcentral describes it as "bacterial SSU rRNA". It matches the Rfam family "Bacterial small subunit ribosomal RNA", at positions 335 to 654 of the family's 1533-position model. The record is from RNAcentral.